This 249-nucleotide long non-coding RNA is filed under the name Chinchilla lanigera (long-tailed chinchilla). RNAcentral's name for it is "lncRNA (ENSCLAG00000026301.1)". The record is from RNAcentral. Lineage: Eukaryota; Metazoa; Chordata; Mammalia; Rodentia; Chinchillidae.
GUUCCUCUCACUGAGCUGUUUAAUUCAUUUCCUUUUCCUUAGGAGGUUGACUCUGGGAGUAACAACAAUCCAUAAUCUCCUGUCACUGCCUAGCUAUCUUCUCAAAUUAGAGGGUGGUGGUAAACACAGCAAAGAAGUUCCAGCUUUUGCAGAGAGACAAGGAAGCAAGGAAGUGCCUCUUGUUCUGCUACUUUGAAAAUUAUUCAGUCACAGAAGUCCAGCAUUGUGACUCAAGAAUCAUUGAGUCCA